GAGAUCUUAAAGAGCCAGAAAUUCAAGUCCUCUGUUCUCGGGACAGAAGAACCUGAAUUCAAGUUUGGGUUUUGCUCUGAUCAGCUCUGUGACAUCAGGUACAUCAACAUCAUCAGGCCCUUCUCAGAGAGUAUCGGAAACAUCAUCAGGCCCUUCUCAGAGAGUAUCGGAAACAUCAUCAGGCCCUUCUCAGAGAGUAUCGGAAACAUCAUCAGGUCCUUCUCAGAGAGUAUCGGAAACAUCAUCAGGCCCUUCUCAGAGAGUAUCGGAAACAUCAUCAGGCCCUUCUCAGAGAGUAUCGGAAACAUCAUCAGGCCCUUCUCAGAGAGUAUCGGAAACAUCAUCAGGCCCUUCUCAGAGAGUAUCAGAAACAUCAUCAGGCCCUUCUCAGAGAGUAUCGGAAACAUCAUCAGGCCCUUCUCAGAGAGUAUCGGAAACAUCAUCAGGCCCUUCUCAGAGAGUAUCGGAACAGGGACGGGGAAUCUGCACUGUUACUAAACUCGGGUAGGGAAAUGCAGGAGGCGUGACUAUGUCCUGAUGGGACUCACAUGGCCAUUCCCGGCCAUACUGCCAGGCGGUGCCCACCUCAAGGAGAGGCCGACUGUAGUGCCCGGCUGGUCUGUUAUAUACCACAAUGCAUUUCUUAAAUGAAUGAUUACUCCCAAACUAUAACCACACGCACACAAAACACUUCUCUUUUAAAAUUACUUAUAAAUUAAGAAACUCUUAAGAGCUUGAACAUAAGAAUUUUGAGUUGGGGAGGGCUGCGGUAUUGGAAGUAUAUAUUCAGCAGUUAACAAGCCCAAAUUGUAUAUCACUGGAGAAUGAUUCCAUUUUAAGUGUCCUUAUCCUCCUCUUGGGACGUUCCAUUGAAUUACUGCUUACUGGGAUACAACAUUUGCUCAUUAAUUUAGACUUUGUCAGUUUGUCAAAGCAGAACUUUCCAAGUAAUACAUCUAUUACCUAAAUAUAUUCCACACGUCUAUAUUAUGGAAACAAUACAUCUUUAUAUUUAAAAUAUCUGGAUAGCUCUAUAACACAAUAUGCUUUUAAUAACAGUACAAACCAGAGAAAAUAAAUCAAACAAGGCUGCAUAGGUGACAUCAUUUGCACGUUCCACCAAGCAAUCAUGUACGAUAACUGAUAUAUACUCCUUACUCCAGAAAGUCAGUAUUCUUACAGGAAAAAGCUACCGGAGGCCACAUAAUGUUUGCUUUCCAGACAGACCAGAUGCCUUUCCCUGGACUUCACUGUUCUCAGAGAGCUACCCAUGAUUCGUGUCAGGAUUUCAACACAAAAUGGCGGGUUGGGGGAGGUAUAAUUACACAGACUCAGAAGGAAGAAGUAUUUUCCUAAGAGCUACUCUAUGAAGUAGUAAGAUUUUAACAGUGAUUUUUAGCUGCAGUUGCCACUUUAAUGAACAAAUGGGGGCUCUGAGGUUCCUUGUAUAAUGGUACGAUAAUGGCAUGGGAGGAAAAGU
This 1480-nucleotide long non-coding RNA is filed under the name Callithrix jacchus (white-tufted-ear marmoset). Its description in RNAcentral is "lncRNA (ENSCJAG00000086849.1)". Lineage: Eukaryota; Metazoa; Chordata; Mammalia; Primates; Cebidae. The record is from RNAcentral.